Molecule: long non-coding RNA, 3502 nt
Organism: Pan troglodytes (chimpanzee)
Lineage: Eukaryota; Metazoa; Chordata; Mammalia; Primates; Hominidae
Exons: 2
Source: RefSeq, a predicted model, not a curated record
AGUGCAACCAGAGUCACACCCAUGGAUGAAGUCAAUGAAGUUGAUCUAGCUCCAUAGCCUCCACGACGGCCAUCAAACCUGUUUUUCACCACAUUUUACAGGUAAAACCCACAUCCAAACCUCCAAUGCAACAUGACCAACAUUAAGACUAUUGCGGCCAGGCGCAGUGGCUCACGUCUGUAAUUCCAGCACUUGGGAAGGCUGAGGCAGGCGGUUCACGAGGUCAGGAGAUCAAGACCAUCCUGGCUAAUGUGGUGAAACCCCAUUCCUACUAAAAAUACAAAAAAUUAGCUGGGCAUGGUGGUGGGCGCCUGUAGUCCCAGCUACUUGGGAGGCUGAGGCCAGAGAAUGGUGUGAACCCGGCAGGCGGAGCUUGCAGUGAGCCGAGAUCACCCCACUACGCUGCAGCCUGGGCGACACAGCAACACUCUGUCUCAAAAAAAAAAAAAAAGAAAAAAAGACUAUUGCUUCCUUUUUCCUGCUCUUUCAAGUAUUAAAAUGCAGCUAUUUUUGCAACCUAAGCCAUAGUACUCUAUUCGGAUCAGAAUUAGAAUUAAGUACCAUUGCUUCAUCUUUUGUCAAACCAACUAUAAAGCCAGGUUUUCCCUCAUGCUGAACUCACAUAAUGGAUUGUUUAGAAUUCAAGGGCAGGACUUCACAUUUAGGAAUAUUCAACGUUAGGAUUUUUUGGCUUGUUGAGAUUUUUGAAUUGUCAUUCAUUGUUCUACAAAUCUUCUCUGGAUUUACAUUAUCUGUAAACUUAAUAACUGUAAGUGGUGAGUGAAAAUGAAUUGCAUGAGGCUAAGGACAUAAAACUGGUAUAAGCCAUAAGAGAUCUCUCACAAGUUGAUUAAUGGUUCAUUUAAACCACCAUGGUGAUAGCCACGAUUCCCAAACUUUUUUUUUUUUUAAAUCAUGCAUCAGAAUCGCCUGGUGGGCUUACUAAAAUUGAUUGUUGGGUCUCAUCAAUUUCUGAUGUCCUUCUGAGCACUUGCAUUUCUAACAAGUUCCCAGGUAAUGUGAUGACCAACUUUGGGAAGCAUUGCUUUAUGGGCACAAUUAAUUAUUCAAUAAGCUUCCAUCACACAACCCAACCGAUUCUUUAUGAACCUUGUAAUGUGAAGUUUGGCUUGACUUAUUCUUAUGUUGGAUGUAUGCUGACCCCCAGAGAUAUAUUUUAUGCUGCUGUACAAACUGAUUAGAUAUUAUUAUACUUCCACGUCCAUAAUUUUAAAGCUUUCAAUGAGAAAGAAUGGGUUAAAUAGUUUAGUUUAGUUAGGGAACCUGAACUCUGGCCAAUUGUAAUAGCCACAGGGUUGCUUCAAAUACAUGUUUAAAUGUUGACAUUGCCAAAGAUGAAAUUAAACCCUCCUAUAGUGAUGUUGCUGUUUUCAAACAGAUCUAAGUUCACAAAGAUUGCAGUCUAUUAGAAAAUAAAUAUUAAGCCUUUCCACACUGACAACUUGUCAGCAACAAAUAUUGAAUUACAACUUGUAGGAUUGGAUUUAGAAAAAAAUUUAGUCAAUGAAUGGGAAUUUCAACCUUUCGUUGUUAAGGAGAAAUACCUUAGUUUCUCCUGUCUCAUUCAUUGAGUCCGCCUAAAGGGUGAUAUUUGGCAGAUUUUGGUACCUUAGUUAAAGAUUCGGUAAGCUUUUGAUAAUAUGUAUAUUGAGUAAAAUAGCCGUUCAGUGGCCAUAUCUGCCCUGAUCCCAAAAUAUACUCAAACAACGUUUUCACUUCAUUUAUUCCUUUGAAACAAGUCACUUAAUACAGCAUUUAGAUAUUUAAAGUCAUACACCUCAUAAAUAAAAUCAAUGCAUCUUAAUGACAAUGGCAAAAUCACAUAAGAGUUGUAGAAAAUGAAGUUAGACAUCUUCCAGGUAGCAGCAGUGCAUUACUUCAAAAAAUGCUGGCAAGUAGGCAAAACAUUUUUAAAACAAGAAAACACUGUCCAUCUGCAUUAAGAAAAAAUAUUUUCUUAUGCUGUUUUGCCCAUCCCUACUUUUUCAAGUCAUAUUCUAAAGCUCUAAUUUGACGGUCUUUACUUGUGGUUUUCUUUUUGUGUUAGGAACCUCUGUCUCUACUGCAUUAAUACAGAAACUAUAGGAAUAUUGUUGUUCUCUAACCCUUUUCACAAGCUAUUCAUAUUCAUUCUGUAUUUAGGCUGAAUUCAAAUUUUUUUCAAGGAAAAAUACUAUUCUGCUAAGUACAUAUUUCCUGUAAACAGCUGGAGUCCUGAAUGGCACCAAUGUGACUGGAAAACUGACAAAAAUUAGGUCCCCUGGUCCUUUAAGUAACUUACGGGCUAAUUACAUAGCCUAUACCAGUUUAUAAAGUAGACUCAUGUAAUUAUAUUAGAAAUUCUGAGCCUAAGAUGAUCCUUUCUGUUUACCUACAACUUAAUCAAAUUAUAUCUUCACCAUUCCUAAACUCCUAUAUGUUGGUUAGUACUUUUAAAAACAUAUGUAUAAAAGGGCAUCAUGGCAAAAUGCUUAUAAUUCAUGGUUUCAUACUUUAAUGAUAAGCUUUUUCACCUAUGGCCAUGCUACAUUCUAUGACAAGAAAUGGGGAAGAAGGGUUGAGUUGACACAAAGGCAUUGCUUUAAAAAUGUUUGGAAAAGCGUAAUUCAUGACUAGGAAUGCAUCUAUUUGACAAUCUCUUCUUUAUCAGUGGUACUUUGUCCUCUUGGCCCUUUUCUCCCUUCACUCUACCAUGAGGGGGUUACCAACCUCCUUUAAAUGUGUAUGAAUCAAGACCUAAAUCAGCACCCUACAAUUCAACAUCAAUAAUAAUUUUAAGUCAAAUAUUCAAAGCACUGUAAGCAAAAUGCUAGAUAAUUUUGAGAAAAAUAAACACUCUCCCACAACCAGCGACACUUAAUAUUCUUUUUAUGUGGAAUGAAAUGUGCUGAAAUACUGUAACAUAAGAAAACAGCUUUAGUUAAUAAACUAGCUUAUUCAAAUCAAGUGUUUCACUUUGGACUUAAAAUGAUGCCACUUGUAUAGGACACGUUUAAGGCCUCUGACUCAAAAAUCAGCUUCCUUAUAAGUCUGCUUGGAAACAAGUUUUAAGGAUCAAAUCUUUUAGAAAUUAUCAGUCAUCUCUGCACUACAAGGACAAAUUUGAAUACUGCAUUGUAUAAUAAUACAAGAUAUUCACAUUAUAAUAAUAAGUAACAUUUUUAAUGCUAGGGCACAGACCAUACUCCUAAUAGUUACUGAAAUUGAGUUCUACUGUUAUCAAAACACCAGAAUGUUGUGCCAAUAGAUACACUCUACACUGAUGGCAAUCUUUGAUUAAGAAGAGCUGAUGGUUAGUAGCUCAAGAAUUGUACUUUAAUGUCCUUAAUUAGAUCCCUAGAGGGCCAACAUGUAAACUUUUAUUCCAUAUAUAUGUUUUAAAGUGCUGCAAACAAAUGUGUCUCCACACAUGAAAGAACAUAAUUCUUAGUAUGUUUAGGAAGGCCACCUGAUUUGUCAAAAAAAAAAAAAAAUCACUGUU